GGGGAGGUGGAGAAUGGAGUGCUGGGAAGACUUAGAACAGCUCUGGGGCUGCUUCUCGUUUCAUCCCUGUAGGAGACAUCAUGACAGGAGUGUGGAAGUGGAAAGAAUCUGAACCUUGUUUUACAAAAUAGGGUGAUGAUCCUGACUCUGGUGCUUUGUGAGAACGAGUCAUCUGAGUCCAGUGGCAAGACAUGGGGCAGGAGACUGGUGAUGGCCCAGGAUGCAAGAGAUGACCUAGAAGUCUUCGAUGGUAUACUUUGUAGCUGGAGACCUACACCCAGCUGCUGGUGCAUUGCUUUCCAGUUUUCUCAACUGUUCUUGUCGAAAAAUACAACCUGCAGGCAAUUGUAUCUUUUUUGCUCUGACAGUUCAUGAAGUCCAGCCUGACUUUGCUACCAUGCUUCAGCUGCCUUCUCCUUGUGCUCCUGGGGUCCUCUUAUCCCAUUGCUCUGAGAUUCCGGGGACUGACUCACUUUUGUGUUUGUGAAGCUGAUUUGUUUUAAGUGGCCACAGACCUCAUCGCAGAAGUCCUGCAGAACUGCGGUGUUCACGAAAAUCAGAAUAAUGACAUACAUAGCCAGGAGCAUGUGGAAGACUUCACCACCUAUAGGAAAUCCUUUUCCCUUUGAUGUUGGUGCAGGAAAUCCUUCAUGAUAGGGGCAAAUACCAUUCGCAAUCAAAUUCUCCCUGU
This is a non-coding RNA of Phascolarctos cinereus (koala), 691 nucleotides long. The record is from RefSeq and is a predicted model, not a curated record. NCBI's taxonomy places the organism in Eukaryota, Metazoa, Chordata, Mammalia, Diprotodontia, Phascolarctidae.